Molecule: ribosomal RNA, 337 nt
Filed under: uncultured bacterium
Lineage: Bacteria
Description: bacterial SSU rRNA
Rfam family: Bacterial small subunit ribosomal RNA
Source: RNAcentral
AGAGUUUGAUCCUGGCUCAGGAUGAACGCUGGCGGCGUGCCUAACACAUGCAAGUCGAACGGUCCCGAUUUAUCGGGAUAGUGGCAAACGGGUGAGUAACGCGUAAGUAACCUGCCCCUAAGUAGGGGAUAACUCCGAGAAAUUGGAGCUAAUACCUUAUGUGGUGAUGGGGGUAAAGCUCCAUGACUAAAGCCUUAGGGCGCUUGGGGAGGGGCUUGCGUCCGAUUAGCUAGUUGGUAGGGUAAUGGCUUACCAAGGCGACGAUCGGUAGCUGGUUUGAGAGGACGGCCAGCCACACUGGGACUUAGACACGGCCCAGACUCCUACGGGAGGCAGC